RNAcentral lists this ribosomal RNA (573 nucleotides) under Sungouiella intermedia. Its description in RNAcentral is "[Candida] intermedia partial 28S rRNA". Lineage: Eukaryota; Fungi; Ascomycota; Pichiomycetes; Serinales; Metschnikowiaceae. The record is from RNAcentral.
GGUCCGUGUUUCAAGACGGGCGGCUUGCAACCAUUACGCCAGCAUCCUAGGUAAAGAAUACCGCAGGCCUCGGUCGCCAGUGGGUGUAUCGUUGCAAGGCUAUAAUACUUCCGAGGAGCUACAUUCCUUGUUCCUUAUCCACCCCUAGCAACCGAUGCUGGCCCGGCACGAAGGCCGUGUCUGCUUGCAAAGCCCCUUUCCCUUUCAACAAUUUCACGUACUGUUUCACUCUCUUUUCAAAGUGCUUUUCAUCUUUCCAUCACUGUACUUGUUCGCUAUCGGUCUCUCGCCGGUAUUUAGCUUUAGAUGGAAUUUACCACCCACUUUUGGAGCCUNGCAUUUCCCCAACAACUCGACUCUUUGGAGAGGAGACACAAGACGGUGUUGUGGUACCUACGGGGCUCUCACCCUCUAAGGCGCCCUGUUCCAAGGGACUAUGGUGCCACUAGCCGCGGGGUCUCCCAACCUACAAAUUACAACUCCCGAAGGAUUUCAAAUUUGAGCUUUUGCCGCUUCACUCGCCGUUACUGAGGCAAUCCCUGUUGGUUUCUUUUCCUCCGCUUAUUGAUAUGC